This 559-nucleotide ribosomal RNA is filed under the name Mazzaella sanguinea. RNAcentral describes it as "eukaryotic LSU rRNA". It matches the Rfam family "Eukaryotic large subunit ribosomal RNA", at positions 364 to 1006 of the family's 3401-position model. Lineage: Eukaryota; Rhodophyta; Florideophyceae; Gigartinales; Gigartinaceae. The record is from RNAcentral.
AUGACAAGCACUUUGAAAAGAGGGUGAAAAGAGCCUGAAACCGUCACGGGGGAAGCGGAUCGCGUUGGAUUGAUGGGCGCUUGCGUGUUCAGCCUUCGGGUGCAUUGGCGCAAGUUGCUUAUCCGCUGUGGGUUUUCGGGGGUCGAUUUUGGACCCCUGGGGACUGAGGGCUCCCUUUUACAGGUUGAGGACAGCGGAGUGACGACGCGAUACGACCCGUCUUGAAACACGGACCAAGGAGUCUAGCGCGGGUGCGAGUCGGAGGGUGCAAGCCCGUGGGCGAAGUGAAAGCGAGUGUAAAAACGAGCAGUUUGGGGCGGCAUAAGAUCGUUGAUCUUAAGACCGACCCAGAGCAGUUGCGCUGGGACCCGAAAGAUGGUGAACUAUGCCGGAGUAGGGCAAAGCCAGAGGAAACUCUGGUGGAGGCUCGUAGCGGUGCUGACGUGCAAAUCGCUCGUCGAACUUGGGUAUAGGGGCGAAAGACUAAUCGAACCAUCUAGUAGCUGGUUCCCUCCGAAGUUUCUCUCAGGAUAGCGGGCCGACAGACGUUGUUUUGUGC